CUACGGGAGGCAGCAGUGGGGAAUAUUGGACAAUGGGCGAAAGCCUGAUCCAGCCAUGCCGCGUGUGUGAAGAAGGCCUUCGGGUUGUAAAGCACUUUCAGUGGGGAAGAAAGCCUUGGGGCUAAUACCCUCGAGGAAGGACAUCACCCACAGAAGAAGCACCGGCUAACUCCGUGCCAGCAGCCGCGGUAAUACGGAGGGUGCGAGCGUUAAUCGGAAUUACUGGGCGUAAAGCGCGCGUAGGCGGUCUGAUAAGCCGGUUGUGAAAGCCCCGGGCUCAACCUGGGAACGGCAUCCGGAACUGUCAGGCUAGAGUGCAGGAGAGGAAGGUAGAAUUCCCGGUGUAGCGGUGAAAUGCGUAGAGAUCGGGAGGAAUACCAGUGGCGAAGGCGGCCUUCUGGACUGACACUGACGCUGAGGUGCGAAAGCGUGGGUAGCAAACAGGAUUAGAUACCCGGGUAGUC
This 464-nucleotide ribosomal RNA is filed under the name Vreelandella stevensii. Its description in RNAcentral is "partial 16S ribosomal RNA". It matches the Rfam family "Bacterial small subunit ribosomal RNA", at positions 339 to 795 of the family's 1533-position model. Lineage: Bacteria; Pseudomonadati; Pseudomonadota; Gammaproteobacteria; Oceanospirillales; Halomonadaceae. The record is from RNAcentral.